GACGGAGGAGGCAAGCGUUGUCCGGAAUUAUUGGGCGUAAAGAGCGCGUAGGCGGUUUUCCAAGUCAUAUGUGAAAACUUUAGGCUUAACCUAAAGAUUGCAUGUGAAACUGGAUAACUAGAGUACGGCAGAGGAAAGUGGAAUUCCUGGUGUAGCGGUGAAAUGCGCAGAUAUCAGGAAGAACACCAGUGGCGAAGGCGGCUUUCUAGGCCGUUACUGACGCUGAGGCGCGAAAGCUAGGGGAGCGAACAGGAUUAGAUACCCUGGUAGUCCUAGCCGUAAACGAUGGACACUAGGUGUGGGAAGUUAUCGACGCUUUCUGUGCCGAAGCUAACGCAUUAAGUGUCCCGCCUGGGGAGUACGGCCGCAAGGCUAAAACUCAAAGGAAUUGACGGGGGCCCGCACAAGCGGCGGAGCAUGUGGCUUAAUUCGACGCAACGCGAAGAACCUUACCAAGGCUUGACAUCAUACUGACGGUUGUUAGAAAUACAACUUCUCUUCGGAGCAGUAUGACAGGUGGUGCAUGGCU
RNAcentral lists this ribosomal RNA (529 nucleotides) under uncultured bacterium. Its description in RNAcentral is "bacterial SSU rRNA". It matches the Rfam family "Bacterial small subunit ribosomal RNA", at positions 524 to 1050 of the family's 1533-position model. The record is from RNAcentral.